Nicotiana attenuata is the source of this 108-nucleotide microRNA precursor. It matches the Rfam family "MIR828 microRNA precursor family". Lineage: Eukaryota; Viridiplantae; Streptophyta; Magnoliopsida; Solanales; Solanaceae. The record is from Rfam.
UGAAGGCCUCUUGCUCAAAUGAGUAUUCCACAAUGUCACUCUCCAAAAAAUGUUUUAAAGUCUCUAGUUGACAUAUCUUGAGAUACUCAUUUGGGCAUGAAGUUUUUG